This 495-nucleotide ribosomal RNA is filed under the name uncultured bacterium. Its description in RNAcentral is "partial 16S ribosomal RNA". It matches the Rfam family "Bacterial small subunit ribosomal RNA", at positions 29 to 507 of the family's 1533-position model. The record is from RNAcentral.
AUGAACGCUGGCGGCGUGCCUAAUACAUGCAAGUCGAGCGAACGGACGAGAAGCUUGCUUUUCUGAUGUUAGCGGCGGACGGGUGAGUAACACGUGGAUACCUACCUAUAAGACUGGGAUAACUUCGGGAAACCGGAGCUAAUACCGGAUAAUAUUUUGAACCGCAUGGUUCAAAAGUGAAAGACGGUCUUGCUGUCACUUAUAGAUGGAUCCGCGCUGCAUUAGCUAGUUGGUAAGGUAACGGCUUACCAAGGCAACGAUGCAUAGCCGACCUGAGAGGGUGAUCGGCCACACUGGAACUGAGACACGGUCCAGACUCCUACGGGAGGCAGCAGUAGGGAAUCUUCCGCAAUGGGCGAAAGCCUGACGGAGCAACGCCGCGUGAGUGAUGAAGGUCUUCGGAUCGUAAAACUCUGCUAUUAGGGAAGAACAUAUGUGUAAGUAACUGUGCACAUCUUGACGGUACCUAAUCAGAAAGCCACGGCUAACUACGUG